AUCUCGUAAUAAGGACUCAUAGUUUUUUCGAUGUGGUAAGGACCUAACCAUUCAUCGUCCAAUUUAUCUGCUUUGUGAUCAUUAUGUACAAGAACCUCCUUCUUUACAUACCGUUUGUGUUUUAAUGAUUUUUCUUUGUUGGUCUUGCAUGUAGUGUUUUCUACUUUGUUCAAGUAUUUGUCUAGCUAGUGUUUUGUAUUUGUCCAAUUGUUUUUGCCAUAGUGCGAACAUUUCUUCAUACGUGUAGUUGGAGGUUCUGGAUAUUGAGGAUGGGAGGUUAGCUUUUCCUCCAAAGCUGGUUGUUUUUAUAUGCUUUAUUUUAAAUGCUUCUUCGAACUUUGUCAUGAGUUCGCUAAUAAAGUUCUGUCCUUGCUCUGUUAGUAUAGUUUUAGGUGCUGAGAACAUGUAAAUGUAAUGAUUCAAUAAGGCGUCUGUUAUGGAUUCGGUUCUUUGUGUCUUGAGAGGUAUUAAUAUCAGGUAUUUGGUCAAAUA
Molecule: unclassified non-coding RNA, 492 nt
Filed under: Bombus terrestris (buff-tailed bumblebee)
Lineage: Eukaryota; Metazoa; Arthropoda; Insecta; Hymenoptera; Apidae
Description: misc RNA ENSBTSG00005033752.1
Source: RNAcentral